AUGCACGCUGGCGGCGUGCCUAAUACAUGCAAGUCGAGCGAACGGACGAGAAGCUUGCUUCUCUGAUGUUAGCGGCGGACGGGUGAGUAACACGUGGAUAACUUACCUAUAAGACUGGGAUAACUUCGGGAAACCGGAGCUAAUACCGGAUAAUAUUUUGAACCGCAUGGUUCAAAAGUGAAAGACGGUCUUGCUGUCACUUAUAGAUGGAUCCGCGCUGCAUUAGCUAGUUGGUAAGGUAACGGCUUACCAAGGCAACGAUGCAUAGCCGACCUGAGAGGGUGAUCGGCCACACUGGAACUGAGACACGGUCCAGACGCCUACGGGAGGCAGCAGUAGGGAAUCUUCCGCAAUGGGCGAAAGCCUGACGGAGCAACGCCGCGUGAGUGAUGAAGGUCUUCGGAUCGUAAAACUCUGUUAUUAGGGAAGAACAUAUGUGUAAGUAACUGUGCACAUCUUGACGGUACCUAAUCAGAAAGCCACGGCUAACUACGUG
Molecule: ribosomal RNA, 496 nt
Filed under: uncultured bacterium
Lineage: Bacteria
Description: partial 16S ribosomal RNA
Rfam family: Bacterial small subunit ribosomal RNA
Source: RNAcentral